This 4097-nucleotide long non-coding RNA is filed under the name Volvox carteri. RNAcentral's name for it is "long non-coding RNA (VCAR_LNC001808)". Lineage: Eukaryota; Viridiplantae; Chlorophyta; Chlorophyceae; Chlamydomonadales; Volvocaceae. The record is from RNAcentral.
UAAAUGUGCGAAUCGGUGGUUUUGUUAGUAUAUCUGGCGGGUCUUGUCAGCGAACUAUGCCCCUAGGUUAUAUAGGUAGCUCAUAUUUUUUGGUCAUUGUUUUACGCUUUAAUUCUUUUAUGUUAGGUGCAGGAGGAGACGAUAUUGUCAAUUGGAGAUGAUAUGUCUCUGGCAGGUGCAUCAUGCAGCGUGUCUAAGUUGUUUAGAGAGCUGUUUGAUUAUUUGAUUGAGUGGCCUGGAUUCAUGUAACUCUUUUACAAUGCUCCAAUGAUGUACAGAGCUCCAACUACAUGACCCAUUGGUAAAUGAGGGUAAAGAUCGUUUGAACAUAGGAUGUCAUUGGUCAUUGUUGUUGAGCGUCAACAGUAACUAGUGAGGUAUAUCCCCACGCUGGAGAGUUACACAAGCAGUUAAUCAGGAUUUGGCAGUAAAGUUCAAGCACAUAAACUGACAUUCACCGUCAGCUAUUAAUUAAUUGUUGUGGAUUCAGUGCUGCUUAUUAUAUGCUUUUUUAGCGUAGGAUUUUCUAAUGAAACCCUAGGUCCCUAUAAAACUCAAUAAGAAAAGGUCGGGGUUUGCCGCGACUGUGCCAGACUGUGCCAGCUGAUCGCUUUUGUGAUGAUGACGCAACGAUGAGUCCCGUUGCUACACGCGUUUCAAUGCCGCCUGUUGCAAAACAUUCACACGCGUACCACGCUUGCACAGCUUGCUCGCGGUAAUGUGGUAUGCUGCCAUUAUGCUAACAAGCACGUCCGCAGUAUACUACGUGUUGACGGUUUCUGUGGCUUAACAUGGACAGCGACGCACAACACUUAGUGUGCGAAUGCACCAGUAGUGAAUGGAUUGAUCCCCAUAACAAAGGAAUCCUUGGGUAAGUAUCACCGGAGCAUAUCCUGCACCCAAACAUGGUAAAAUAACCAGUGACUGGAGCCAGCCGGCGCCGGUGGCAAAAAAGCGCAUUCCUCAUGCAAACAGAGCAGAGAUUGACGGCUUGAGUUGGUGACAAAGACGGCCUGAAUUGCAGCAUGAGAAGCUGGAAAACAAAGUGGAUUGUGGGGCUGCUACUGCUGUCCCUGUCCGCAACACCGCCUGCCAGACAUUCUCCUGCCACUGAGCGAUACAGGCUCCCGCAAACACCAGCAAUAGCAUGCAACAGCGCAAUGACCCCCUUCACGUGUAUGGGUAUAUCGGUUCAGGUGUGUGCGAGCUGCUUUGUUUGACAUAAGGUGAAAGUACCUCGCGUGCUAACAGAAAUGCAUGAAGAGAGCCCCUUACGACAGCAAGCGCAGAGGCUCCCAAGUGCUCGCCGCCCACCAGGCGCAAUUACACGCCAAAGGCGUACCCUGCCACAAUUUCCACAGCGCGCCGUGGCUGACGGUAGCUGCCGUGCUGCCGUAGCUGACGGUCCAUUCAUUUAUUGCCGGUGUCCUGAUACCAAUCUUGUUGAGAAUAGCCGAGGACCGUGAAAAGAUUGCACAAAAGCAUAUGGACUUGCGAUAUCUUGCCAUAGCAAAAGGAGUUGAACAAUUCGGAUUGGAUUGGCGAAACCGGAAAGCGGAAGAUAUGCCACGCAAAAUGGCCAAAACACCAUACAUGAGCAUAUUUCAAAUUAUUUAAGGCAGCGAUGCACCUACAGCAUUUAGGUAUGUGGUGAGAAUGCAGCAGAAGCAAUCAAUAACUGAUGUUUUAAAAUGCACCGAUAUUGUGAAUCGGAAUUGAAUAAAAGUAUCAGGAAAUGAAGAUAACCAGUUCAGAAGGGCAGCUUAAACCGUUUUGCGCUGUGAAAUACGCUGAGAGAUACGUGGAUUGAAAGAUACUCUUAGAUAUUAACGGUAGUCCCGGAUACAUAAAGCGUAGUCGGACCUUACAAGAGCGCUCAAGUGUGUGGUUGUUACAGUGGGCUCCAGACUCCCGAAGAGUAGAGCCAUCGGGCCAGCUGGCCGUGCACUGCAGUAGAGACUAAUAUACCAAAAGAUUAUCAUCUCAGAUAAUUAACCUCUCAUCGGUAACCGCUCUCGCGAACAAAUCAAUUUGCCAGAUAUAAUCCUCAAAAAGGGGUGAUGUGCGCCAACGUAAUGUGUUCAGGCCCGGUAUAUCCUGCAGUUAUUUGCAAGUUGAAAGCCAGAGAUCUGCUGACGUUCCCAAAAUAUCUUUCCUCGCUUCCUUGUUCAAUCGUAAAACGGCGCGUCCAUUUCCUUGGGUGCCUGACUCUCACAGGGCGCUUAAAGCCCCAUGUGCGAGGGGUAGCAUAUAAGAUGCAAACAUAUCUUGAGCAACGCCAAAGGACACACCCAGCAGUAAAACUGCAGCAUGUCUUUGGAAUAAAUGACAUUCCCGUAAUAAGCUGUGAUGCAUGAUGGCAAAGUUUAGACAUGUUGCGGCACGAAACGCUGAAACGAUGACAAGUUGCAGGAAAGGAGUACAUGGAGACGUAAUGACAAACAUCAUACAGUAACCUGAUUGGCGAUCAAAAUUCAUAACGAGAUCAUAUCAACAUGCACUACAUCUCGCUCCAUGAGUAACGCAACAGUCGCGAUCACCUUUCCGUACGAUUCUGGGCCUUAUGUGAGGCCACCACGCACAUACAAAAGGCCAUCGACCAACACGAUUUUGCACACACAAGUAGUGAACGUAUCUACUACUUUCAUCGUGUCACCUAAUACACUUAAUAUAAACAUGGCUGCUAUUGUGAAGUCCGCCGCCCGCAGCUCUGUGCGCCCUGUUACGGUCGCAAGCCGGGUGAGUACUUUCCGCCGAAUCCGCAGGUCGACAUGGGCCAAUCGAUAACACUGGAUGUUCCUAUUCUUUCCUAGAUCUAUUAGGCUUUUCGGGCAGCGCAAGCUAUACGCAAGCUUGGUGAUUUGCGUUAUACCUUCACCCACCCCCAGCACCUUUAACGAUGCGCUGCCUCCCUUCCCUCUAUGCCGUAGGCUGCUCGCGUGGUGCCUCGCGCUGCCAUUGAGUGGUAUGGUCCUGACCGGCCCAAGUUCCUGGGUGAGAUGGGAGGGAUAAGUUCACGACAUGGAUAGACACCAGUUACCUGUGCUAUGAUUCACCCUCGGUUUCCCCUCCGUGCUUUCCGUAUUCUGGACGCCAUGACGACGUCACUAGGCCGGUGCUGACUUGCCUCCUCCGUUCCUUCGCUCCCUCAGGCCCCUUCUCUGAGGGCGAUACCCCUGCCUACCUCACCGGCGAGUUCCCCGGCGACUACGGCUGGGACACUGCCGGCCUGUCCGCUGACCCGGAGACCUUCAAGCGCUACCGCGAGCUGGAGCUCAUCCAUGCGCGCUGGGCCAUGCUGGGCGCUCUGGGCUGCGUGACCCCCGAGCUGCUGUCCAAGUACGCGGGCGUCUCGUUCGGCGAGGCUGUCUGGUUCAAGGCCGGCGCCCAGAUCUUCGCUGAGGGCGGGCUGAACUACCUGGGCAAUGAGAACCUGGUGCACGCGCAGUCCAUCAUUGCCACCCUGGCCUUCCAGGUAGGAUGGAAGUAAAAAAAGUAGAUGAUAGGUGCGGGAAGAUGAAGGCCUUGGUUCGAGUGAACCUUUUUAUCCAGCCCUAUAAACUAGCAGCGCCUCCGUUGGGUAUUUGUGACGUCACUCAUCUUUGCUGCAGGUCCCUAAACCACUAUAUGAAGAGCAACGUCCACAGCAGACGUAAAAUAGGUCAUGGCAAUUGAUCAUCACACGCUCUGUAAAUCUAUUACUGUGCCCAAUUCUCAGUUCGCCUGGGUCCCGUCCGCCUCAUCCCCGCAGGUUGUCGUGAUGGGCCUGGCUGAGGCCUACCGCGCCAACGGCGGCCCGCUGGGUGAGGGCCUGGACCCGCUGCACCCCGGUGGCGCCUUCGACCCGCUGGGCCUGGCGGACGACCCGGACACCUUCGCCGAGCUCAAGGUCAAGGAGAUCAAGAACGGCCGCCUGGCCAUGUUCUCCAUGUUCGGCUUCUUCGUGCAGGCCAUUGUGACCGGCAAGGGCCCCAUCGAGAACCUGUCUGACCACCUCGCCAACCCCAGCGCCGUCAACGCCUUCGCCUACGCCACCAAGUUCACCCCCUCCGCUUAAAUGUAGCACCUGGUCGUCUUGCGCACAUCGCAUGCCUUUG